Molecule: ribosomal RNA, 253 nt
Filed under: uncultured bacterium
Lineage: Bacteria
Description: partial 16S ribosomal RNA
Rfam family: Bacterial small subunit ribosomal RNA
Source: RNAcentral
UACGUAGGGUGCAAGCGUUGCUCGGAAUCACUGGGCGUAAAGCGCACGUAGGCGGAUCUUUAAGUCAGGGGUGAAAUCCCAAGGCUCAACCUUGGAACUGCCUUUGAUACUGGGGAUCUCGAGUCCGGAAGAGGUGAGUGGAACUGCGAGUGUAGAGGUGAAAUUCGUAGAUAUUCGCAAGAACACCAGUGGCGAAGGCGGCUCACUGGUCCGGUACUGACGCUGAGGUGCGAAAGCGUGGGGAGCAAACAGG